CGCAUCUGUGCAUGCAGCAUAUCAAUAAGCGGAGGAAAAGAAACUAACAAGGAUUCCCUUAGUAACGGCGAGUGAAGCGGGAAGAGCUCAAAUUUGAAAUCUUAAAGGGUUUCCCUUUACGAAUUGUAGUUUAAAGAAGUGUUUUCUGUUGAGGUUUUGGUAAAAGUUCUUUGGAAUAGGACAUCAUAGAGGGUGAGAAUCCCGUAUUUGACCUUUACUUUCAACUUUGUGAUACACUUUCAAAGAGUCGGAUUGUUUGGGAAUGCAGUCCAAAAUGGGUGGUAAAUUUCAUCUAAAGCUAAAUAUUGGCGAGAGACCGAUAGCGAACAAGUACCGUGAGGGAGAGAUGAAAAGAACUUUGAAAAGAGAGUUAAACAGUACGUGAAAUUGUCAAAAGGGAAGCGUUUGACACCAGUGUUGUUUUUCUGAAAAUCAAUUAAAGAACUGUUUAUGCUAAGUUGUUUAGACUUUAUCAGCUAUCUGUUUAGUUUUGAGCUUUUCUUUAAUGCACUUUUCAGUUAACAAGUCAACAUCAAUUUCUUUUGCUGUAAAAAAGCUUGAGGAAGGUGGCUUGAGAUUCGUCUUAAGUGUUUAUAGCCUCUUGCCUAUGCAGUCGGAGAGAUUGAGGUCUGCAGCGUAGAUCCUUCGGGGCUAAAUGCAUUUGUGCUAAGUUAUAGCAUUUUAUAGACAACUUGUUGACUAUGAUUUGUCUUGUAGCUUACUCGCUUAUGCUAUUUUACCUACGCUUAGGAUGUUGACACACGCGCGUGCUCGAUAGUCUAUACAUGACUCUGUGCAUAUCAAUAAGCGGAGGAAAAGUAUGCUGUAUACCUACGCUUAGGAUGUUGAUAGUCACAGCGUGUAC
Molecule: ribosomal RNA, 865 nt
Filed under: uncultured Neocallimastigales
Lineage: Eukaryota; Fungi; Neocallimastigomycota; Neocallimastigomycetes; Neocallimastigales
Description: partial large subunit ribosomal RNA
Rfam family: Eukaryotic large subunit ribosomal RNA
Source: RNAcentral